Molecule: ribosomal RNA, 588 nt
Filed under: Salmonella enterica subsp. enterica serovar Typhimurium
Lineage: Bacteria; Pseudomonadati; Pseudomonadota; Gammaproteobacteria; Enterobacterales; Enterobacteriaceae
Also listed under: 2 other names
Description: partial 23S ribosomal RNA
Rfam family: Bacterial large subunit ribosomal RNA
Source: RNAcentral
UGAUGUUCUAACGUGGACCCGUAAUCCGGGUUGCGGACAGUGUCUGGUGGGUAGUUUGACUGGGGCGGUCUCCUCCUAAAGAGUAACGGAGGAGCACGAAGGUUGGCUAAUCCUGGUCGGACAUCAGGAGGUUAGUGCAAUGGCAUAAGCCAGCUUGACUGCGAGCGUGACGGCGCGAGCAGGUGCGAAAGCAGGUCAUAGUGAUCCGGUGGUUCUGAAUGGAAGGGCCAUCGCUCAACGGAUAAAAGGUACUCCGGGGAUAACAGGCUGAUACCGCCCAAGAGUUCAUAUCGACGGCGGUGUUUGGCACCUCGAUGUCGGCUCAUCACAUCCUGGGGCUGAAGUAGGUCCCAAGGGUAUGGCUGUUCGCCAUUUAAAGUGGUACGCGAGCUGGGUUUAGAACGUCGUGAGACAGUUCGGUCCCUAUCUGCCGUGGGCGCUGGAGAACUGAGGGGGGCUGCUCCUAGUACGAGAGGACCGGAGUGGACGCAUCACUGGUGUUCGGGUUGUCAUGCCAAUGGCACUGCCCGGUAGCUAAAUGCGGAAGAGAUAAGUGCUGAAAGCAUCUAAGCACGAAACUUGCCCCGA